CCUGUUCCUACUGGAGUAACUCCUCCUGUGGUUGUAUACAGCCUGUUAUGAAAUGGUGAAAAUCCUUGGUCUGCUUUGGCUUUGCUGGAAGAGGGUUGGACAGGAUGUUGACAUGUUGCUUGACCAUACAAAUGUAGUGUAAUGUCAAUGAAUUCCACAAAAGUCCCUGUACUUCAAACAUAUUCUAACAUGUCUAAGACAAGAUAUUAUAAAAACCAUAGGAAAAUAAACCACUCCUCUUUUUAUGUAAAAUAAAAAGUCUGGCUG
Molecule: long non-coding RNA, 267 nt
Filed under: Mytilus galloprovincialis (Mediterranean mussel)
Lineage: Eukaryota; Metazoa; Mollusca; Bivalvia; Mytilida; Mytilidae
Source: RNAcentral